RNAcentral lists this transfer RNA (71 nucleotides) under Marmota monax (woodchuck). RNAcentral describes it as "tRNA.Ala". Lineage: Eukaryota; Metazoa; Chordata; Mammalia; Rodentia; Sciuridae. The record is from RNAcentral.
UGAGGAUAUAGCUCAGUUGGUAGAGUCCUUGCCUUGCAUGCACAAGGCCCUGGGUUUGACCCCCAGCACAA